Molecule: non-coding RNA, 813 nt
Filed under: Hoplognathotermes subterraneus
Lineage: Eukaryota; Metazoa; Arthropoda; Insecta; Blattodea; Termitidae
Source: RNAcentral
GUUAAGUUUUAUUCUUGCUUUUCCGUUCAGUUUAUUUUUGUUCUAUAUGUAAGUUUGUGCGUGAGUUUGUUGUAUCUCUAGAUGAGUAAUAAUUUGGUUUAUUAAUUUUCAUUAGUUAUUAUUGGUUGGUCAAGUAUACUUGUAUUUAGCAAUAGGUUUUAGUUUCGGUUAAAUUUUGUGCCAGCAGCCGCGGUUAUACCUUGGAGGCGUUUGAAUGUGUUCGGCAAUAGUGUAGUUUUAUAUUUUUAUUAUUUGGUUUUGUUUAAAUUUUGGUUUGUUGGGUGAAAUUUUUAUUUUUGUUAAUUACCUUUUUAAUUUUGUAAGCUAUGAAAUUCUUUGUGUAAACUAGGAUUAGAUACCCUAUUAUUUUGGAAUGUUAAGGUUUUGUGUCUGAGUAGUAUUAGUUAUGUUCUUGAAACUUAAAGAAUUUGGCGGUAUUUUAUUCCAUCCAGAGGAAUCUGUCUCGUUAUCGAUAGUCCGCGUUGGACCUUACUUAGUUGCUUUGGUUUGUAUACCGCCGUUUAUUGAUUAUCUUUUUAGAGUUGUUAAUUUUCUGGUUUCUUUAUUUUGAUUUAUUUCAGGUCAAGGUGCAGCUUGUUUCUAAGUGGUAAUGAUGGAUUACAUUUUUGUUUGUUAUUGGAUUGUUGGUUUUGAUAUUAACAUGAAAUUGGAUUUGGUUGUAAUGUUUUGUAGAUUGUUUUCGUGAUAAUUGGUUCUGAGAUAUGUACACAUCGCCCGUCGCUCUCGUUUAAUUUUUGUUAAUGAGAUAAGUCGUAACAAAGUGGUUGUACCGGAAGGUGCAGCUGGAUUGAU